AUUAAAAAAUGUUUUAUGUGGCGUUCAGAGGGCAAAACAUUUGAAAUAAUUUGAUUAUUUACUGUAAAAAAAAAAAAAAGAAAAAAGGGGGGAAAAAAACCUGUAAAAAAAAAAAAAAAUUAAAAAAAAUUCUGUAACAUGUAGGUUGCAGCUGGUGAACUGAGAAUAUCUGCCUCUUUUAGAUGUCCAGCCUCAGCAAAUAUACUUGCAUGCUUCACCAGGGUCAGUGUAAAAUUUUAAUUUCAGCAGCACAACAGAUACACCCACACGCUUGGUAUCGCUGUGCUCAGACAUUUCUUGCUUAAUUUCCAGUAAUGCUCUCCAAGCCUGCAGAUGAAAUUCAAAUCUUUGCAAAAAUUGAGGCAUAUUUUCACAUUUGUACCUGCGAUUUCCAUUGCAGAUUGCAGUUGCCUUGGCUAAUGUUUGGCACCUGGCUAAUCUGUUUAAAGAACAUCCCCUGUAACAAAUCAGCCAACUGGGGACUGUAUCCAGCACUGUGAGGGGCUCAACUUGGUUCUCCUCUGGUUCUGGUGCUGGCUGACCAGCAGGCCCCCACAGCUCAGGCCCA
Astatotilapia calliptera (eastern happy) is the source of this 568-nucleotide long non-coding RNA. Lineage: Eukaryota; Metazoa; Chordata; Actinopteri; Cichliformes; Cichlidae. The record is from Ensembl.